AACUGGAGUUUUCUGUGAAGCAGCCACAUGAAAAAUGAAACCAGGAAGAUACUGCUGGUCCUAGCAACACUAUUCUAGCCAGUUGAAACCUCUCUCUUCCUUCAAAGACUACCUUUCAUGCUGCCUCCUCCAUGAAGCCUUCUCUGGAUACCACCAAUCCUCCACCAGCUGAAUUCAACCCUGGGAGUGAAAGAUCACCCCCCCCAAAAAAUAAAAAGUGGAAAGAGAAGAGAGAGAGGGCUAAAGACAGAGCCUUGAGGGAUUGGUAUCUGUGGGUAGAUCUGAGCCUACUUGUCAACACAGGAGGAUAGAGAAUUGAAGAGAACCUUAGGUGUCCCUCUUCUUACAAAGAAGGAAACUGAGGCCCAAAUGGAAGCCUAGAGAGAAUUACAAAGGCCCAUAUUGGUAUUGCAAAAGCUCUCCAAAGCAUGGGAGCCAUGGGCCCUAAUUAUACACUGUGCUGCACACAAAAGGCUUUGUUUUGUCUCUCCCACUAGGUGUAAAAACCCACAGCUCACUUUGCAGCUUCUCAGGGGCAAGUGGGAAACAGGAGGAAGAGCCUAUUCAAUAUCUUUUAAAAGGAAAUAAAAUUGGCUCUUGGUUUCCAGGGCAGGGAGAGGCCAGUGGAGGGGGGGGAGGGGGUGGUGUCCAUGGUUGUCAAGCCUGGAUGUGGCAACACCUCCACACCCCACAGUCCUUAUUUCAAGAUAUGCUUCAUCAUACACGAAAACAUGUAACCCUCCAAGUUCAAGACUGCUGAUAAAACAAGUGAAAAACUGUACUCAGAUUACAGGGAAGAAAAUCCAGGGCAUUCAAUUCAACUUGGAGAACAUUUACUAAGUGCCUGUUAUGUCCAAGAUCAAAGGCACAACCACAGAGCCCCAGAAACCCUGUGAAGCCACAGCAAGUGUGUCUGGGACUCUCCUUCCCUCCUAGGCGAGCACUUCUUCUGCACCCAGGGAAAAGCCCCUCCAGAAGCCAGUGCCAGAGGGAGCGUCGCGCCUAGACCACAUCUGCGGUCCCACCUCACUGCCAGAGUGCCCGCACACCUCUACUUCACACAUUCUACGUUAGCACCUCAUCAUCCUGGUUCUAGACCGCCCUGGGCCUCGCUGCAGCCCCUCCAUCGGCCCACGCCUGUUACCCACCCCUGCUCGUCAUGGGGGAAGUUCCUAUGUCCAACUGUUCUUCAUCCCCAUUUCUCCCUUGCCCAUUCUUUCCUAUUUGAGGGGAAGGAGAUGGAGAAGCACAUGAGGGCAGCUCCCCUGUUAUCCCCACUCCACCAUGGCUGCCCUUUUGUGUACUGUUCCAUUAUUAGUUUUUUAAAAUUCUAAACUUAACAAACUCCUAAUCAAACGAGCACAUCCACAUGCACUGGAGGGGAAAAGGACUGUACAGGAAACUGCAAAUCUCCCUGAUGUCCAGCAGGUUUUCUGUUCGAGUACAAUAAAUUCAAUGCCUCUAACUCUCAGAGCCAUCGGACCUGUCUGCGUGCCUUCUGUUCUCUCCUCAUCUUUGGGGGGCCAGGAAUCUCUGACUCUAACCUCGCCUUCUCCCUUUCCCUCUUUCCCCAAGGUAGCAGGGUGGCACAGCAGAGUGCUGUACGUGGAGUCAGGACAACCCGACUUCAAAUGCUGCUUCAGACAUCUGUGCUGCCACUCAGUUAACCUUCUCAGCCUCAGUUUUCUCAUGUGUAAGAUGGAGAUACUAACAGCACCGGCCUCUUGUUGUGAAGAUCAAAUGGGGGGAUCGUGUGUAAAUUGCUUUGUAAACUGUAAAGCACCACAUAAAUGCCAUAAUG
Phascolarctos cinereus (koala) is the source of this 1801-nucleotide non-coding RNA. The record is from RefSeq and is a predicted model, not a curated record. NCBI's taxonomy places the organism in Eukaryota, Metazoa, Chordata, Mammalia, Diprotodontia, Phascolarctidae.